GACGUAGGUGGCGAACGUUAUCCGGAAUUAUUGGGCGUAAAGGGUGCGUAGAUGGCCUGAUAAGUUAGCAGUGGUAAAUCGAGGCUCAACCUCGUGGAAACUGAUAAUACUGUCUGGCUCGAGUACAGAAGAGGUUAACGGAAUUCCACGUGUAGCGGUGAAAUGCGUAGAGAUGUGGAGGAACACCAGUGGCGAAGGCGACUCUUUGGCCUGUAACUGACACUGAGGCGCGAAAGCGUGGGGAGCAAACAGG
This 253-nucleotide ribosomal RNA is filed under the name uncultured bacterium. Its description in RNAcentral is "partial 16S ribosomal RNA". It matches the Rfam family "Bacterial small subunit ribosomal RNA", at positions 524 to 776 of the family's 1533-position model. The record is from RNAcentral.